This 497-nucleotide ribosomal RNA is filed under the name uncultured bacterium. RNAcentral describes it as "partial 16S ribosomal RNA". It matches the Rfam family "Bacterial small subunit ribosomal RNA", at positions 28 to 507 of the family's 1533-position model. The record is from RNAcentral.
GAUGAACGCUGGCGGCGUGCCUAAUACAUGCAAGUCGAGCGAACAGACGAGGAGCUUGCGGCUCGGACGUGAGCGGCGGACGGGUGAGUAACACGAGGAACACCUACCUAUAAGACUGGGAUAAUUUCGGGAAACCGGAGCUAAUCGCGGAUAAUAUGCUGAAUCGCGUGGGGCAACAGAUAAAGACGGUCGUGCGGGCACGUAUAGAUGGAUACGGGCCGCAUUAGCUGGUUGGUAAGGUAACGGGUUACCAAGGCAACGAUGCGUAGCCGAGCUGAUAGGGUGAUCGGCCACACUGGAACUGAGACACGGUCCAGACUCCUGCGAGAGGCAGCAGUAGGGUAUCUUCCGCAAUGGGCGAAAGCCUGACGGAGCGACGCCGCGUGAGUGGAAAAGGUGUUCGGAUCGUAAAACUCUGUUAUUAGGGGAGAACAAAUUUGUAAGUAACUAUGCACGUCUUGACGGUAACUAAUCAGAAAGCCACGGCUAACUACGUG